Molecule: ribosomal RNA, 458 nt
Filed under: uncultured bacterium
Lineage: Bacteria
Description: partial 16S ribosomal RNA
Rfam family: Bacterial small subunit ribosomal RNA
Source: RNAcentral
AACGAACGCUGGCGGCAUGCCUAACACAUGCAAGUCGAACGAGACCUUCGGGUCUAGUUGCGCACGGGUGCGUAACGCGUGGGAACCUGCCCUUAGGUUCGGAAUAACUCCCCGAAAGGGGUGCUAAUACCGGAUAAUGUCUUCGGACCAAAGAUUUAUCGCCUUUGGAUGGGCCCGCGUUGGAUUAGCUAGUUGGUAGGGUAAAAGCCUACCAAGGCGACGAUCCAUAGCUGGUCUCAGAGGAUGAUCAGCCACACUGGGAGUGAGACUCGGCCCAGACACUGACAGUAGGACGCGGCGGGGAAUCUUAGGGGAGGGGGGAGAGGGGGAUAUAGGAAUACCGGGGGAGGGAUGAUCCAGCUAGGCCGGGUGAGUGAUGAAGGUGGUAGAGAAGUAAAGCACUUUUACACGGGGUGAUACUGACGGUACCGGAAGAAUAAGCUCCGGCUAACUCCGUG